UUAAGGAAGGCAUCCUAAAUAUUCCUCUUCAUCUUUGAAAGAUUUAGUUAAUAUAAGUUUUUUUUUUUUAAGGAAAAGAAAAUGGGCCAGAGCUCAAAAGGGACGAGCACACCCGUGAUAAGGCUGAGGUGGAUGGUUCAAGUCCAUUUAGGCCCAUCAACUGAAAAAAAGGUCUUUUUUCUAAUUUAGAAACAAAAAGUUCUCCGAAAAAAAGAUAAACAAAGUAGAUUUAAAAAAU
Molecule: unclassified non-coding RNA, 238 nt
Filed under: Candidatus Phytoplasma sacchari
Lineage: Bacteria; Bacillati; Mycoplasmatota; Mollicutes; Acholeplasmatales; Acholeplasmataceae
Description: 16S-23S ribosomal RNA intergenic spacer
Rfam family: tRNA (bases 84-156)
Source: RNAcentral